UACGUAGGGGGCGAGCGUUGCCCGGAAUUACUGGGCGUAAAGGGAACGUAGGUGGCUCUUAAAGUCAGGUGUGAAAAUAACGAAGCUUAACAGGUUAAUGCGCUUGAAACUAAAGGGCUUGAGGGCAAUAGAGGGAGAUGGAAUUACCUGUGUAGGGGUGAAAUCCGCAGAUAUAGGUAAGAAGGCCGGUGGGGAAGCCGAUCUCCUGGGUUGACUCUGACACUGAGGUUCGAAAGCUAGGGGAGCAAACCGG
This 253-nucleotide ribosomal RNA is filed under the name uncultured prokaryote. RNAcentral's name for it is "partial 16S ribosomal RNA". It matches the Rfam family "Bacterial small subunit ribosomal RNA", at positions 524 to 776 of the family's 1533-position model. The record is from RNAcentral.